Rosa chinensis is the source of this 7269-nucleotide long non-coding RNA. RefSeq lists it as uncharacterized. The record is from RefSeq and is a predicted model, not a curated record. The transcript has 3 exons. NCBI's taxonomy places the organism in Eukaryota, Viridiplantae, Streptophyta, Magnoliopsida, Rosales, Rosaceae.
GUUUAAUUAGCUAGGCCUGAAGUCAUCCACUAAGAAACAAAAGAUAAGGCAUAAAUAUAAAAAAGGCAUAAUUAUUAUGCUUUAGUUGCCACCUAGUAGCCUUAUUGUAGCUUAGGCGUGAUAGCAAACAAUUACAGAAGUUAAGAGGUGUAAGAAGGAACAACUUUCCAGAGCCAAUUGAUAUAUCGAGAUGGUAGCGGCGAAAUUGGCCAAAGCGAAUAGAGCAAAAGACGAGGCUUUGCAGUAGAAUGAUGAGAUUAAGAAUCAAUUGGAUGAUUUCGCUCUGGAGAAGGAUGGGUUCAAGGCUGAGAUUGGGAAUUCCACGCAUAUGCUCAUGUCUAGGAUUGUUAAGAUUUCAGGUAAAGUUAGUAAUUUUAAGAAUUUGGCUGCCUGGGGAUUGCCAGAGGUCGAAUAAGCAUAUGGGGGUUGUCGGCGGUGGCUUAUGGGGGAUUGUCGGCGGUGGCUUAUGGGGUAGAGGACAAAUGAGAUUGAGGAAGUUAGAUAAAUUGAGGCCACUGCCAAGUCUAGGAACGAAACAAUGGAGCAGAUGGAUCAGAGGAACUACGAGAUUUUACAGUUGGAUGUCACCGAGAUUUCAUAGUUGGAUGUCACCAUUCCUUAUCUAAUGUGUGAGGAAUUGCCAUGGAAGGUGAGCCACCGGCCUGCAAGACCUCCCUAAUUGAGGUACAAUAUGUUCUUUGUGGGGUUUACCAUUUGACGAUGCCAAUGGAUUAGUUUAGGAUUCUGGAAUCACUUAUCUGGAUUUUGCUUUGGGUACAAUUUCUUAAUCUGCUGGGUUUGCUAUUUGGGGAUGCUACUUGGUUGGUAAAAGGAUUUGGAUUACUUUGAUUCUGCUUAAGGUAAUUACCCUUUGUGUUGACUUUUUCCUUUUGUUUGUGUGUGAAAGCUGUGUUUAAAUAUGCCUGAUAUGUUUGUUGAUAUGUGUUUAAUUAUCCCGACAUGUUUGUUAGCCUGAUAUGUUUGUCGAUAUGUAUGUUGAUAUAUGUUUAAUUAUCCCGAUAUGUUUGUUUAAUUAUGCCUGAUAUGUAUGUUGUCCAAAUAUGUGACUCUUCUGCUUUAUUGACAUAAAUCAUUAAAGAAACUAAUGAUGUGAUUUCUCUACAUGUUGAUCUAUAUCUGUUAGAAGUAACACUUUUCUGUCUAUCUAUUUAGUUGUUUAUUUUUGCUUAAGAUAAAGUAUUGUUUUGUAAAUGGACCUUUGUUCUUGUGUAAUAAUCUUAAGAUGGAUAAGUCAUGGAUGCUUGAGGAUCGAAGAUCACGGGCAUAUGAAAUAGGGGUUGAAGCAUUCUUAAAGUUUGCAGUAGAAAAUACUAAACAGGUUUUGGAAAAGCCCCAGAGUGGCCCACCGAAAAACAACAAGUCUGAACAGGGGGGCUCUAAAGUUGAGAAGAAAAAGGGGUUUAAAGUAUGAGGUAGUAGAUAUCCCAAACAGGGAAAAGGGACUGGGUCAUCAAUAAAGUUCCACAAGUUACAUAGUGUACUCAUGAAGAAAAUCGUGAUGGGCUCCGGUUCUAAGGCCCAUCACGAGAAAUGAUCGUAUUGAGUUGGAACGUGUAGGGAUUGGGGACCCGCACAAGUUUCACGCUUUGAAAGCUCACAACCCUGAUAUUAUGUUCAUAAUGGAAAAAAAGAAAGAAGGAGAUGGAGAUGGUACGGGACUGCAACUCUUUGGGUUUUUCUAGGUGUUUUGUGGUGGAAAGACAGAGGAAAUAUAGUGGAAGAUUUGUAUUAGCUUGGAAGGAUCAUAUUUAGUUGGAUGUGAUUGGACAUUCUAUUGGUCAUACUGAUGCAUUGCUAGUACAGAACAACGUGAAGACAAGGCUCAUUGGCUUCUACGGGAAUCCUACUAUACAGUUAAGACGCUUUUCAUGGGAGCUGCUUAAGAAGGUUGUUAGUAAUGCAGACGGUCCAGUAGCUGUAUUCGGGGAUUUCAAUGAGAUUCUGGAGGUUGAUGGAAAUUUGGUGGAGAAGAUCGGUCGAUCUCCCAGAUUAAUCAUUUCAGAGCUGUGAUUAAUCAGUGUAAUUUAACGGAGGUGAGUUUUGAAGGUCCGGUGUUUACCUGGAGUAAUGGUUCUGUGCUGGAAAGAAUAGAUCGAGCUUUUGUUAAUGGAGCAGCUUUUGGGUUCUUUAACAGGCUGCAUGUGGUUUACGUCGAUUUCGCCCUCUGAUCACUUGCCUAACUUUGUUACAACUAAUGGGGAGGAUUUGGUGCGUAGGUGAAGAACAAGAAGAAAGAUGUUUGAGACUUUUUGGGUUAAAGAAGAGGGGUGCAAAUAUGUGAUAAAGGAGUGUUGGGAGAAUGACAUCUCUGAGGGUUUGGGAGUAAGUUCAAAGUUACUUAAAUCAGUUAAAAUGUAUGGACAGAAUAGUUGGGUGGAGCAAGAAUAAUGUUGGCAACAUUCCCUGACGAAUUCUUGAACUAAAAGAUAAUUUGGCAGAUCUCCCUUUUGAUAGUACUAUGAAUGGCGUCCAAGAAAGGAGGAAAGUGGUGAUGAAGGAGCUGCAUAAAUUGGAGAGGCAUGAAGAGGAGAUUUGCAAGCAAAGAUCUCGGGUUACUUGCCUUAAAGAGGGAGAUAACAACACAGCUCUUCCACAAUUAUGCAAAAAACAGAGGAAGUCGGAAUCGGGUCCCGGGGUGUUUAAUGAUGAGGAUGUAUGGGUGCAGGAUAGCACAGUGAUUAAAGGGAUGUUUGUGGAGUUCUUUACUGAGUUAGUUACCUCAAGAGGAUGUGUUCAUUAUGAAGUGAUUUUAGAAACGGUUCAGUGCUGAGUCACGGAGGACAUGAAUUAGAAGCUUUUGGUUCCAUUUAGAAGAGAAGACAUUGGACGGGCUUUGAAACAGAUGACAGCCUCUAAAUCCCUGGGCUACGAUGGUCUCCCUGCGCUUUUUUACAAACAGUAUCAGGAUAUAGUUGGUGAUGAGGUCUGUGACUUUUGCCUUUGAGUGUUAAAUGAUGGUCGACAAUUGGAGGAUGCUAAUCAUACUUUAAUCACACUCAUUCCUAAGAUUCUUGAGCCGCGGAAGAUGUCGGAUUUCCGGCCUAUCAAUCUGUAUACAGUGCUUUACAAACUGAUCUCAAAAGCCAUAUAUAGUGAAUAGAAUGAAGGGGGUGCUUGAUAAGGUAAUAUCCCCCACUCAAAGUGCUUUUGUGCCAGGACGGCAUAUACAUGACAACGUGAUAGCGGCCUUUGAGACUAUUCACUCUAUUAGGAAAAAUUCUGGGAGUGGUGCUGCAAACUUGGUGUUAAAGUUGGACAUUAGCAAGGCCUAUCAUAGAGUGGAGUGGCUUUUCCUGAAGAAGAUGAUGGCAAAGUUGGGUUUUGCAGAGAGUUGGGUGCAGUUGAUUUUGAGGUGUGUUUGUUAGACUUCCUUCUCUGUUCUUUGGGAGGGACAGGCAACUGGCCUUUUCAAACCUUCAAGGGGAUCCCCUUUCUCCAUAUCUCUUUCUUCUGUGCUCCGAGGGAUUAUCGUGCUUAUUCUCCCAUGCAGAUAUGAUGGGAUUUAUCCAUGGAGUUCAAGCCAGUAGGAAUGCACCAUCAGUUUCACAGUUACUUUUUGCAGAUGAUAGCCUAGUGUUUGCCAAGGCUGAGAUGCAGGAGGUUGUCAAUCUAAAAUAGAUUCUACUAAUCUAUGAAUCUUCUACUAAUAUAUGAAUCUGCAGCAGGUCAAAAAAAUUAAUUUUGACAAAUCGACAUUAGUUUUGGGCCUGGGAUGAGAGCCAAUGUGAAGACGGAUUUGUAGCAGAUUUUGGGGAUACAAAUUGUGCCAUUCCAUGAAAGACAUCUUGGUUUACCAACUGUGGCUGGGAGAAAUAAGAAAGAGAUGUACAAAAAGGUGGAAGACAGGUUAGAUCACCAUCUUGUGGGAUGACAGAGUAAGUUUCUCUCUAAGGCAGGUAAAAUGAUCCUUGUGAAAGCAGUUGCCCAAGCUAUUCCAACGUAUACGAUGAGCAUAUUUCGGCUUCCGAAGGGGAUGCAGAAGGUGUUUCAAUCAAAGAUUAUCAACUUUUGGUGAAAAAAGGGGGAGGGAAAAAGGGUUUGCAUUGGUGUAAGUGGGAUGUGCUCUGUAGAAGUAAAUGGGAAGGGGGGUUGGGAUUUAGAGAUUUGGAGUUGUUCAAUCAAGCGUUGUUGACAAAAACUUAUUGGCGUAUAAUGCAAACUCCACAUUCCUUGCUGGGCAGGUUACUUAGAGCCAAAUAUUUUCAAGAUGUUGAAUGGUUUAAUGGAAGGGUUCGUAGUUGUGCUUCGCUAAUUUGGAGGAGUUUGAUUUGGGUAGAGAGAUUUUGGAAUUGGGUAUGAUGGAGGUGGGGAAUGGUGUGCUGAUCAACGUAAAGUCUGAUAAAUGGCUUCCUUGGCCAACUACUUUCAAGGUCAUCUCUCCUACUUGUUUUUCUGGGAAUUUCAAAGUUGCUGAGCUCAUUAAUUUGGGUCAUGAAUGGAAGGUGAAUUUCAUCCAUAGCCAUUUUUUGGAAUUUGAAGCUAAAGUCAUCCUUUAUAUUCCUUUGCCUAGGAAUGGGGGCACAGAUAAGUUAGUUUGGCAUUAUAACAAGAAUGGGAUGAGAUUCUCGGUGAAGUCUGGCUAGGCCUGGGCUCAGGUCGGGCCGGGCCCGAAAAUCAGUAAAACCGAGACCGAGACCGAGAAUUUCGGUUCGGGCCUGUUCGGGCUUUUUUCGAAAUGAAAACCGACUGAAACCGAACCGGUUCGGGCUUUCGGGCUUUUUUCGGGCCCAAUUUCCAGAAACUAUAUGAAGCUGCUGUAAAUCAUUGUAGAAAAAUGUACGUGCCCUUACCUGACUUAAUCAUAUAGUAUCUAAUAAACCCCCAAACUGGAAAUUGCCAUGGCAAACAGUACAUGAGAAUACAUUACACUUUAAUACUCAGCAAAAACCUUGCCCCCCUCCCUUCCACUUUUCUCUAAGAAACCAACCAACCACCCAAUCCGGGGAUGCGAUGCAUACAAAACAAAACAAAUCAAAAUCCGAACAAUCUGAUGCACGAAAUUCACAAAAAUCGACCGACGAAGAAAUGGACUCUUUCCUCUCCACUGUCGAUCAAAUCUACCAGGUACUUCUUCCUCCUCCUUCACCUCUCAGUUUCUCAACCGUAACAGAAACUAAGCUUUCAUUCUGAUUGAACUCGGAAAUUCUUAGGAUUUCAAGGACGGCGUAGCGGAAAUCCAAUCGGUGAAACCCGCCUGCAAUGCCGAGGCGAAGAAGCGAGAAGCUCUUGAAUUCACCUGCAACAAUCUCAAACAAGGUCCGACAUCAAUUGCUUCCUCUAAUUCCCAAUUUCAUUUUUUUUUUAAUUAAGACCAAAUGAACAGAACCCAGAAUUGCAUUUGUAAUUCCAAGUCUAAAUUCUUCAAAAAAAAAAAAAAAAAAAAGGGCUUCCAAGUAAAACCUUGCUGGGGAGCAGCAAUGGAUGCGGUAUAUGAAAAAGUAAAGAGAAACCCAGAUCGGUAAAUUUACCUCGCUUGUCGACGACGUCGAGGGAGCAGUGGACGAUGUGGUGGAGAGAGAGAGACUGGAGAGAGAGGUUGAGACUGAGAUUUGGGGCUGAGUCACUGAGAUUUGGGGCUGAGAAUCUGAGAUUGAGAUGGUAUCGAGUAUCGACGGCAAAGAGAUUGAGAUGGUAUCGACGGCAAAGAGAGGGAGACUGAGGGAGUAUCGACGAUUCGACGGUAUCGAGUAUCGACGCGACGACGGCAAAGAGAGGGACUGAGGGACUGACGAGUGACGACGGCAAAGAGAGUAAAGGCCUCAGUCCUUUAGGAGUAGGGUUGUUCACUUGUUUAAAUAUAUUUUUUUAUAUUUUAACUUAUUAUUAUAACACCCAAUCAUAGACUGACAUGUGGCAACUGCUACAGUAUUCGGGUCGGUUCGGGCUUUCGGGCCCUGAAAAUAUGGAACCCGAGACCGAACCGAAAAUUUCAAUUCUAAAACCGAACCGAUUCGGGCUUUUUCACUCGGUUCGGGUCGAGUCCUCGGUCUUUCAGGUCCGGACGCCCAGCCCUAAGUCUGGCUAUUGGGUCGCUGAUCAGGAGAAGUUAAGGAAGGAGGGUAGGCUUAUUUCUAGAAGUGGCUCAAGUGGUAAUUAGAAGGGCUGGAGAUUGUUGUGGGGAUUAAAACUACCCAAUAAGAUCAAAGUGUUCCUCUGGAGAGCUUGUAAUAACUUUCUCCCAUGUGCAGCAAACUUGAUUAGAAGAAGGAUAUGUAGGAAUGGGUGGUGUGAAGGUUGUUGUUGCAGUGAGGAAUGUGUGCUCCAUGAAUUAUGGGAAUGUUCUAUGGCCCGUAAGGCAUGGAAGCAUACCGGCCUUCCUGGUGGAUGUUUGUAAGGUGUGGCAUGAGGGAAGUUUCUUUGAUCUUUUUUUUACAUGUUGCUAUGGUGGCUCGAGAGAACGAUCUGGAGUGGUUUGGCGUAGUAGCUUGACAAUUGUGGCAUGAAAGUAAUAAGAGAAAUCAUGGACAACAAGCUUUAUGUGAUGUUGAACUUAUAACAAAGGCUGCUGCAUGGUGGGAUUUCUUUAUUAAUUGUGAUACGUUGGAGUGUGAUAAUGGGGUUGGUAGUGGCAGAGUGGUGGGUAGGGGCAUGAUGCAACCACAAGGGAUGUCUAGUAUGAGACAACACAUAUGGGAGAAGCCAAGGGCGAGGGCCAUUAAACUCAAAAUAGAUGGAGCGUUGGAGGUGAAUAACAGGGUCUAUGGUACGGGAGCUAUCUGUAGAGAUGAAAAUGGUGUUUGUGUUGGGGUUUUGGUGGUGCCAGAUGUGGGCUUUCUGAGUGCAUAAACCUGUGAGUUUAUAGCCUUGGAUUUUUGUCUUCAAGAUGGGUUUACCCAGGUGGACAUUGAAGGAGAUGCUAUAAACAUUUUCUCGGCUUUAAAUUCUGAUCAAGAAGAUCUAAGUCCAGAUGGAGCUCUAGUUGAUGAAGCCAAGGUACUUUUAAGUUUUUUUUUUCCAGUCUUGUAGUUGGGUUUAUAUCCCUAGAGAGUGUAAUAAAGCUGCUCAUAGUGUAGCAAGAGCCGCGCUCACUUUACCUUUUUCUACUUAUUGCUGGAGAAUGGCGCCAGAUUGGCUUCUUCCCAUUCUAGUUGAUGAGUCUUUGUAAUCGAUGUCAAAAAUGGAGUGUGGUACUCUUCCUAACCAGUUGUGGUGGGUUUAAUGAGGCCGCUAUACACUCCUUGAUGUAGUCUUAUUUGAUGAAUGAAUCACGUUUUGAUAAAAAAAAAAAAAAAAAUUCGUUUUACGAUU